RNAcentral lists this long non-coding RNA (231 nucleotides) under Penaeus japonicus. Its description in RNAcentral is "uncharacterized LOC122257350". The record is from RNAcentral. Lineage: Eukaryota; Metazoa; Arthropoda; Malacostraca; Decapoda; Penaeidae.
GUCAGUUCGCAAUGGCUUCCCUCAAGUAUACAGCUCUCCUGUGCCUCGUGGGCUUCGCAAUCGCUGAGUCCUGCAAUGCCGAGGAAACUGUGAGGGAGAAGAGAGGCUUCCUCGGAGGCGGCCAAACGGGCGGUUACGGAGGGAGCAGCGGCUCCACCGGAGGCUACGGCAGCGGCGGAGGCGGAGGUUACCUGAUCGUCGGCGCCGGGGGAGGCGGAGGCCACCACGGCC